This 819-nucleotide ribosomal RNA is filed under the name uncultured Lactarius. Its description in RNAcentral is "eukaryotic LSU rRNA". The stretch from base 200 to 353 matches the Rfam family "5.8S ribosomal RNA". Lineage: Eukaryota; Fungi; Basidiomycota; Agaricomycetes; Russulales; Russulaceae. The record is from RNAcentral.
GGGGCAUGUGAGGGCUGUCGCUGACUCAAAGUCGUGCACGCCCGAGUGUGUCCUCUCACAUAAUAAUCCAUCUCACCCUUUGUGCAUCGCCGCGUGGGCACCCUUUGGGAUCAUCUCGGAGGGGGCUCGCGUUUUCACACAAACCCCCCUUUUAAAAGUGUAGAAUGACCUCAUUUAUGCGCUAACACGCAAUCAAUACAACUUUCAACAACGGAUCUCUUGGCUCUCGCAUCGAUGAAGAACGCAGCGAAAUGCGAUACGUAAUGUGAAUUGCAGAAUUCAGUGAAUCAUCGAAUCUUUGAACGCACCUUGCGCCCCUUGGUAUUCCGAGGGGCACACCCGUUUGAGUGUCGUGAAAACCUCAACCUCCUUGGUUUCUUCUGGAGACCAAAGGCAGGCUUGGACUUUGGAGGCCUUUGCUGGAACCUCUCUCUUUUGAAGGCCAGCUCCUCUUAAACGAAUUAGCAGGGUCCUCUUUGCCGAUCCUCGACGUGUGAUAAGAUGUUUCCAUGUCUUGGUUUCUGGCUCUGUCACUUUUGGGACCCGCUUCUAACCGUCUUGACCUUGCAUCGAGACAAUGUUCGAGCAUGUCUCCCUUCUCGGGAAGCUCCCUCGACCCCACGAACCCUUGACCUCAAAUCGGGUGAGACUACCCGCUGAACUUAAGCAUAUCAAUAAGCGGAGGAAAAGAAACUAACAAGGAUUCCCCUAGUAACUGCGAGUGAAGCGGGAAAAGCUCAAAUUUAAAAUCUGGCGGUCUUUGGCCGUCCGAGUUGUAAUUUAGAGAAGCGUCUUCCGCGCUGGACCGUGUACAAAGUC